This 464-nucleotide ribosomal RNA is filed under the name uncultured bacterium. RNAcentral describes it as "partial 16S ribosomal RNA". It matches the Rfam family "Bacterial small subunit ribosomal RNA", at positions 28 to 507 of the family's 1533-position model. The record is from RNAcentral.
GACGAACGCUGGCGGCGUGCCUAACACAUGCAAGUCGAGCGAAUGAAGUUCCUUCGGGAAUGGAUUUAGCGGCGGACGGGUGAGUAACACGUGGGCAACCUGCCUCAUAGAGGGGAAUAGCCUUCCGAAAGGGAGAUUAAUACCGCAUAAGAUUGUAGUAUCGCAUGAUACAGCAAUUAAAGGAGCAAUCCGCUAUGAGAUGGGCCCGCGGCGCAUUAGCUAGUUGGUGAGGUAACGGCUCACCAAGGCGACGAUGCGUAGCCGACCUGAGAGGGUGAUCGGCCACAUUGGGACUGAGACACGGCCCAGACUCCUACGGGAGGCAGCAGUGGGGAAUAUUGCACAAUGGGGGAAACCCUGAUGCAGCAACGCCGCGUGAGUGAUGACGGCCUUCGGAUUGUAAAGCUCUGUCUUCAGGGACGAUAAUGACGGUACCUGAGGAGGAAGCCACGGCUAACUACGUG